RNAcentral lists this ribosomal RNA (484 nucleotides) under Eimeria subspherica. RNAcentral's name for it is "SSU rRNA". It matches the Rfam family "Eukaryotic small subunit ribosomal RNA", at positions 1321 to 1831 of the family's 1831-position model. Lineage: Eukaryota; Apicomplexa; Conoidasida; Eucoccidiorida; Eimeriidae. The record is from RNAcentral.
AAUUUCGAUAACGAACGAGACCUUAGCCUGCUAAAUAGGAUCGGGAACUUUUUUGUUCUCGCAUCACUUCUUAGAGGGACUUUGCGUGUCUAACGCAAGGAAGUUUGAGGCAAUAACAGGUCUGUGAUGCCCUUAGAUGUUCUGGGCUGCACGCGCGCUACACUGAUGCAUGCAACGAGUUUUUGACCUUGGCCGGAAGGUCUAGGUAAUCUUUUGAGUAUGCAUCGUGAUGGGGAUAGAUUAUUGCAAUUAUUAAUCUUCAACGAGGAAUGCCUAGUAGGCGCAAGUCAGCAGCUUGUGCCGAUUACGUCCCUGCCCUUUGUACACACCGCCCGUCGCUGCAACCGAUCGGAGGGUCCUGUGAACUCGAUGGACUGUCCAUCCCCUUCUUGGGGUUGGGCUGGAAGUUGCGUAAAUAGAGCCCUCUAAAGGAUGCAAAAGUCGUAACACGGUUUCCGUAGGUGAACCUGCGGAAGGAUCAUUC